CCUACGGGAGGCAGCAGUGAGGAAUAUUGGUCAAUGGACGAGAGUCUGAACCAGCCAAGUAGCGUGAAGGAUGACUGCCCUAUGGGUUGUAAACUUCUUUUAUAUGGGAAUAAAACGUUCCACGUGUGGGAUUUUGUAUGUACCAUAUGAAUAAGGAUCGGCUAACUCCGUGCCAGCAGCCGCGGUAAUACGGAGGAUCCGAGAGUUAUCCGGAUUUAUUGGGUUUAAGGGGAGCGUAGGGGGAUUGUUAAGUCAGUUGUGAAAGUUUGCGGCUCAACCGUAAAAUUGCAGUUGAAACUGGCAGUCUUGAGUACAGUAGAGGUGGGCGGAAUUCGUGGUGUAGCGGUGAAAUGCUUAGAUAUCACGAAGAACUCCGAUUGCGAAGGCAGUUCACUGGACUGCAACUGACACUGAGGCUCGAAAGUGUGGGUAUCAAACAGGAUUAGAUACCCUGGUAGUC
This 460-nucleotide ribosomal RNA is filed under the name uncultured bacterium. RNAcentral describes it as "partial 16S ribosomal RNA". It matches the Rfam family "Bacterial small subunit ribosomal RNA", at positions 338 to 795 of the family's 1533-position model. The record is from RNAcentral.